AGUCAAGUAAUUAAGUGCAUGUGGUGGAUGCCUUGGCAGUCAGAGGCGAUGAAAGACGUGAUAGCCUGCGAAAAGCUCCGGGGAGGCGGCAAAUAUCCUUUGAUCCGGAGAUGUCUGAAUGGGGGAACCCACCUACUUUAAGGUAGGUAUUGCAACAUGAAUACAUAGUGUUGCAAGGCGAACGAGGGGAAGUGAAACAUCUCAGUACCCUUAGGAAAAGAAAUCAAUUGAGAUUCCCUCAGUAGCGGCGAGCGAACGGGGAUCAGCCCAUUAAGUUAUGUGUGUUUUAGUGGAACGCUCUGGGAAGUGCGAACGUAGAGGGUGAUAUUCCCGUACACGAAAGGGCACACAUAAUGAUGACGAGUAGGGCGAGGCACGUGAAACCUUGUCUGAAUAUGGGGGGACCAUCCUCCAAGGCUAAAUACUCCUGACUGACCGAUAGUGAACCAGUACCGUGAGGGAAAGGCGAAAAGAACCCCUGUGAGGGGAGUGAAAUAGAUCCUGAAACCGCAUGCAUACAAGCAGUGGGAGCACCUUCGUGGUGUGACUGCGUACCUUUUGUAUAAUGGGUCAGCGACUUAUAUUCAGUAGCGAGGUUAACCGUAUAGGGGAGCCGUAGAGAAAUCGAGUCUUAAUAGGGCGUUUAGUUGCUGGGUAUAGACCCGAAACCAGGCGAUCUAUCCAUGAGCAGGUUGAAGGUUGGGUAACACUAACUGGAGGACCGAACCCACUGUCGUUGAAAAGCCAGGGGAUGACUUGUGGAUAGGGGUGAAAGGCUAAUCAAGCCUGGUGAUAGCUGGUUCUCCCCGAAAGCUAUUUAGGUAGCGCCUCGGACGAAUACCAUAGGGGGUAGAGCACUGUUUCGGCUAGGGGGUCAUCCCGACUUACCAAACCGAUGCAAACUCCGAAUACCUAUGAGUACUAUCCGGGAGACAGACUGCGGGUGCUAACGUCCGUAGUCAAGAGGAAAACAAUCCAGACCGCCAGCUAAGGCCCCAAAAUCAUAGUUAAGUGGGAAACGAUGUGGGAAGGCAUAGACAGCUAGGAGGUUGGCUUAGAAGCAGCCACCCUUUAAAGAAAGCGUAAUAGCUCACUAGUCGAGUCGGCCUGCGCGGAAGAUGUAACGGGGCUAAAACUAUGUGCCGAAGCUGCGGAUNNGUGCGAAUGCUGACGUGAGUAACGACAAAACGGGUGAAAAACCCGUUCGCCGAAAGACCAAGGGUUCCAGUCCAACGUUAAUCGGGGCUGGGUGAGUCGACCCCUAAGGCGAGGCCGAAAGGCGUAGUCGAUGGGAAAAUGGUUAAUAUUCCAUUACUUCUGUGUAAUGCGAUGAGAGGACGGAGAAGGCUAAAUCAGCCUGGCGUUGGUUGUCCAGGUGAAAGGAUGUAGGCAUGUAUCUUAGGCAAAUCCGGGGUACUCUAUGCUGAGAUCUGAUAGCAAGCUGUACUUGUACAGCGAAGUGGUUGAUGCCAUGCUUCCAGGAAAAGUCUCUAAGCUUCAGUUACACAGGAAUCGUACCCGAAACCGACACAGGUGGUCAGGUCGAGUAGACCAAGGCGCUUGAGAGAACUCUGCUGAAGGAACUAGGCAAAAUGGUACCGUAACUUCGGGAGAAGGUACGCUGUUGUUGGUGAUGGAACUCGCUUCCUGAGCUGACGACAGCCGCAGAAACCAGGCCGCUGCAACUGUUUAUUAAAAACAUAGCACUCUGCAAACACGAAAGUGGACGUAUAGGGUGUGAUGCCUGCCCGGUGCUGGAAGGUUAAUUGAUGGGGUUAGCGUAAGCGAAGCUCUUGAUCGAAGCCCCAGUAAACGGCGGCCGUAACUAUAACGGUCCUAAGGUAGCGAAAUUCCUUGUCGGGUAAGUUCCGACCUGCACGAAUGGCAUAAUGAUGGCGGCGCUGUCUCCAGCAGAGGCUCAGUGAAAUCGAAAUCGCUGUGAAGAUGCAGUGUACCCGCGGCUAGACGGAAAGACCCCGUGAACCUUUACUGCAGCUUGACACUGAACUUUGACCUUACUUGUGUAGGAUAGGUGGGAGGCUUUGAAGCUGGAACGCUAGUUCCAGUGGAGCCGUCCUUGAAAUACCACCCUGGUAAUGUUGAGGUUCUAACUCUGUCCCGUGAUCCGGGACGAGGACCGUGUCUGGUGGGUAGUUUGACUGGGGCGGUCUCCUCCUAAAGAGUAACGGAGGAGUACGAAGGUGCGCUCAGCGUGGUCGGAAAUCACGCGUAGAGUAUAAAGGCAAAAGCGCGCUUAACUGCGAGACCCACAAGUCGAGCAGGUACGAAAGUAGGUCUUAGUGAUCCGGUGGUUCUGUAUGGAAGGGCCAUCGCUCAACGGAUAAAAGGUACUCUGGGGAUAACAGGCUGAUACCGCCCAAGAGUUCAUAUCGACGGCGGUGUUUGGCACCUCGAUGUCGGCUCAUCUCAUCCUGGGGCUGAAGCAGGUCCCAAGGGUAUGGCUGUUCGCCAUUUAAAGAGGUACGCGAGCUGGGUUUAGAACGUCGUGAGACAGUUCGGUCCCUAUCUACCGUGGGCGCUGGAAAUUUGAGAGGAUCUGCUCCUAGUACGAGAGGACCAGAGUGGACGAACCUCUGGUGUACCGGUUGUGACGCCAGUCGCAUCGCCGGGUAGCUAUGUUCGGAAGGGAUAACCGCUGAAAGCAUCUAAGCGGGAAGCCUACCUCAAGAUAAGAUUUCCCUAGGACUUUAUGUCCUCUAAAGAGCCGUUCGAGACUAGGACGUUGAUAGGUUGGAUGUGGAAGCAUAGUGAUAUGUGAAGCUGACCAAUACUAAUUGCUCGUGAGGCUUGACUAU
Molecule: ribosomal RNA, 2816 nt
Filed under: Acinetobacter baumannii
Lineage: Bacteria; Pseudomonadati; Pseudomonadota; Gammaproteobacteria; Moraxellales; Moraxellaceae
Description: 23S ribosomal RNA
Rfam family: Bacterial large subunit ribosomal RNA
Source: RNAcentral